This 401-nucleotide RNase P RNA is filed under the name Psychrosphaera sp. I2R16. Its description in RNAcentral is "RNase P RNA component class A". It matches the Rfam family "Bacterial RNase P class A". From Rfam's summary of the family: Ribonuclease P (RNase P) is a ubiquitous endoribonuclease, found in archaea, bacteria and eukarya as well as chloroplasts and mitochondria. Its best characterised activity is the generation of mature 5'-ends of tRNAs by cleaving the 5'-leader elements of precursor-tRNAs. Lineage: Bacteria; Pseudomonadati; Pseudomonadota; Gammaproteobacteria; Alteromonadales; Pseudoalteromonadaceae. The record is from RNAcentral. RNAcentral also lists the same sequence under 2 other names.
CGAGAUGGCUAGACAAUCGCCGCUUUAUCGUUGUAUCUCAACCUUCGGGUUUUGGUAGACGGAUGAAGGGGAGGAAAGUCCGGGCUCCAUAGGGCAGAGUGCCAGAUAACGUCUGGGGGGCGCGAGCCUACGACCAGUGCAACAGAGAGCAAACCGCCGAUGACUGCUUAGGCAGAACAGGUAAGGGUGAAAGGGUGCGGUAAGAGCGCACCGCGCGGCUAGUAAUAGUUCGUGGCACGGUAAACUCCACUCGGAGCAAUUUCAAAUAGGGUUCCACUACUCUUAGAAGUUAAUGCGCGGCCCGCGUUGGAACCGGGUAGAAAGCUUGAGCCUUAGAGCAAUCUAAGGCCUAGACGAAUGAUUGUUCACGACAGAACCCGGCUUAUCGGCCAUCUCGCACC